GAUGAACGCUCGCGGCAGGCCUAACACAUGCAAGUCGAGGGAUAAGCCUUCGGGCUAAGCCCGGCGCACGGGUGCGUAACGCGUAUACAAUCUGCCUUUUAUCCGGGGGAUAGCCCGAAGAAAUUUGGAUUAAUACCCUAUGGUAUAAGAGCACGGCAUCGCGCACUUAUUAAAGCUACGGCGGUAAAAGAUGAGUAUGCGUUCUAUUAGCUAGUUGGAGAGGUAACGGCUCCCCAAGGCGACGAUAGAUAGGGGUUCUGAGAGGGAUGUCCCCCACACUGGUACUGAGAUACGGACCAGACACCUACGGGAGGCAGCAGUGAGGAAUAUUGGACAAUGGUCGGAAGACUGAUCCAGCCAUGCCGCGUGCAGGAUGACGGCCUUAUGGGUUGUAAACUGCUUUUGUAAGGGAAGAAUAAGGAGUACGUGUACUUUGAUGACGGUACCUGACGAAUAAGCAUCGGCUAACUCCGUG
RNAcentral lists this ribosomal RNA (475 nucleotides) under uncultured bacterium. RNAcentral describes it as "partial 16S ribosomal RNA". It matches the Rfam family "Bacterial small subunit ribosomal RNA", at positions 28 to 507 of the family's 1533-position model. The record is from RNAcentral.